GUUAGAUGCGGGGCUGCGGCGGUGGGAAUACGAAGUGGUGAAGGGUGAGUCGGAAGGACGGUGCGUAAGUCGUGCGUAGGUGGUGUUGUGAGUCAGUCGUGAAAGCCCUGGGCUCAACCUGGGAACGGCGAUGGAAACUGGGCGACUAGAGUGUGGUAGAGGGUAGCGGAAUUCCUGGUGUAGCAGUGAAAUGCGUAGAUAUCAGGAGGAACAUCCAUGGCGAAGGCAGCUACCUGGGCCAACACUGACACUGAGGCACGAAAGCGUGGGGAGCAAACAGGAUUAGAUACCCGAGUAGUC
Molecule: ribosomal RNA, 300 nt
Filed under: uncultured Sporohalobacter sp.
Lineage: Bacteria; Bacillati; Bacillota; Clostridia; Halanaerobiales; Halobacteroidaceae
Description: bacterial SSU rRNA
Rfam family: Bacterial small subunit ribosomal RNA
Source: RNAcentral